RNAcentral lists this ribosomal RNA (2864 nucleotides) under Ziziphus jujuba (common jujube). RNAcentral's name for it is "bacterial LSU rRNA". The stretch from base 902 to 2864 matches the Rfam family "Bacterial large subunit ribosomal RNA". The record is from RNAcentral. Lineage: Eukaryota; Viridiplantae; Streptophyta; Magnoliopsida; Rosales; Rhamnaceae.
AUUAGCCCGGAUCUUUAAUUAAGUUCAAGUUCUAAUGGAAUGGACCUCAACCCCUAACCAACCUGUGGUUAGAAACCUUGGUAUAAUGUAGACGCCACAAUAGGGGAUGGAAAACCUAUUGAUAAGUCAACCUAAAACAACCAAUUCUCUAAUGGUGUUUUAGGUGUUCUCAAAGAACAAAGGGAUAAUUAAUCUCACAAGUAUUUUCUUAUUCAAAUCAAAGUUGUAUUAUUAUUGAAAAAUAAGCCUUUAAAUAGGCUUUGAAAGAAACAAAAUAAACCCUAAAAACCCUAGGUAAAACCGGCCACUCAAUGAAGAGUUCUAUGAUGGCCGAAACUCUCACUCUUUUCCUAAUCUCAUUUGGAUUAAUUAAUUCCGUUAUGUUGAAUUAGAAAUUAAUUAAUCUACAAUGGAAAUAAUAAAAUAAUAACUUUCCUAAACUUAUUUGUCCAGUAAAUAAAUAAAUAAAAUCUAAAAAUUAAAGGUAGUAUCCUAAAACAAAAAGUGGAAUAAAAUUAGGAAACUAUAUUACUAGCUUUUUGACUAAAUCGACUUUGACCAAUCUUUGACCAAAUUGAGCUCCAAAUAAGCUUCAAUAUGCUUUGUAGGGUGCCAAAUAAGCUUAUUGUGAAGUUCCUCACGUUGCCCUUGCUUGGAAGUAUGAGAAAAGACUAAUACAGUAAAAUACAGUAAAGCAAGCAAGGAAUACAACAAAUCCAGCCUUUCCUUCUCCUUGUGCGCAAAACACCUUGUUGGUCGGCUUUGAAGCUGCUUUGGCUGGUUUCUGUGACUCAUCCUUCAUAUGAAUUGAACCCAUAAGGAUUGGAUUCCAGUUCAUACAACCCGGCCUCUUUAAUAUCACCAAAAACGUCACCCGACCCUGUUUUGGCUUCUAUUGCUUGUAUGAGUAAAAUAGGCCUUGGUUCUUUAGAUGUGGCCAACCCCUAUUGACUAUGACUUAUUCCUUGUAUGAAGACAGCAAGAUUGUCCUUGAACUUCUUGGCUUGGGCCCUAGUGAUCGGUCCCACCUUCAUUUGUAUUGGGUCAGCACCCUAGCGGGUUGUCGGGCGAACAGUCUCGGGUGGAUUCGAAUCAGUUCCGCCUAGAGGGAAGCACCUGUUCAAGCAAUGGUAGACAAAGCGAAAGCGAGAAUGUCAGCUUGAGUAACACAAAUAUUGAUGAGAAUCCAAUGUCCUAAAAACGUAAGGAUUCCUCUGCAAGGUUCAUCCACGGAGGGUGAGCCAGGGCAUAAGAUCAGGCUGAAAGGCGUAUUCGAUGCACAACAGAUGAAUAGUCCUGUACUACCCUUUAUUGGUUCCGAGGGACGGAGGAGGCUAGGUUAGCUGAAGGAUGGUUAUCAGUUCAAGGACACAAGGUGCCUUUGCCUUUUCAGGGUAAGAAGGGGUAGAGAAAAUGCCCCGAGCCAAUGUUCGAGUACCAGGCGCUACAGCACUGAAGUAACCCAUGCCACACUCCCAGGAAAAGCUCGAACGACCUUCAACAAAAGGGUACUUGUACCCAAAACUGACACAGGUGGGUAGGUAGAGAAUACCUAGGGAUGUGAGAAAACUCUCUCUAAGGAACUCAGCAAAAUAGCCCCAUAACUUUGGGAGAAGGGGUACCUCCUCACAAAGAGGGUCACAGUGACCAGGCCUGCGCGACUCUUUACCAAUAUCACAGGUCUGUGCAAAGUUGUAAGACCAUGUAUGGGGGUUGACACCUACCCAGUGCUAGAAGGUCUAGGAAUUUGGUAACCUUAUGAUAGGGGAGCUGGCGACUGAGGCCCCAGUGAACAGCAACCGUAAUUAUAACGGUCCUAAGGUAGGUAAAUUCCUUGUUGGAUAAGUUCUGACCCGCAUAAAAGGCGUAGCAAUUUAGGCACUGUCUUAGAGAAAGGCUCGGUGAAAUAAAUAUGUCUAUGAAUAUAUGGACUACCUGCACCUGGACAGAAAGACCCUAUGAAGCUUCACUAUUCCCUGGGAUUGGCUUUGGGCCUCUCCUACACAACUUAGGUGGAGGGCGAAGAAGGCCUCCUUCCGAGGGGCCCAAACCAUGAGUGAGAUACUAAUAUGGAAGAGCUAGAAUUCUAACCUUGUGUCAGGACCUAUGAGCCAAGGGUCAGUCUUAGGUAGACAGUUUCUAUAGGGCAUAGGCCUUCCAAAAGGUAACGGAGACGUGCAAAGGUUUCCUCAGGCCAGACGGAGAUUGGCCCUCGAGUACAAAGGUAGAAGGGAGCUUAACUGCAAGACCCACCCGUCGAGCGGGGACAAAAAUAGGCCUUAGUGAUCCGACGAUGCUGAGUGGAAGGACCAUCGCUUAAUGGAUAAAAGUUACUAAAGGGAUAACAGGCUGAUUUUCCCCAAGAGCUCACAUCGACGGGAAGGUUUAGCACCUCAAUGUCGGCUCUUCGCGACCUAGGGCUAUAGUAUGUUCCAAGGGUUGGGCUAUUCACCCAUUAAAGUGGUACAUGAGCUGGAUUCAAAACAUCGUGAGACAGUUUGGUCCAUAUCCGAUGUGGGCAUUAGAGCAUUGAGAGGACCGGGAAGGAUGCACCUCUGGUGUACCAAUUAUUAUGCCCAUGGUAAACGCUGGGUAGCCAAGUGCGGAGCUAAUAACUGCUGAAAGCAUCUAAGUAGUAAGCCCACCAAGAUAAAUGCUCUCCUAUUCCAACUUCCUUAGAGCUUUCGAUAGCACAGCCAAGACAGUGAUAGGUUUUUUGCCCUUGCGGGGGUGGAGCGACAGAAGUUUUGAGAAUUCAAGAGAAGGUCACGGUGAGAUGAGCCGUUUAUCAUUACGAUAGGUGUCAAGUGGAAGUGCAGUGAUGUAUGCAGCUGAGGCAUCCUAAUAGACCGAUAGACUUGAAC